GGGCUCAAAUGUAUGUUGACGUAUUCUGAAGGAUACUUCUUCGGACAAUAUACAAGGUGCUGCAUGGUUGUCGUCAGCUCGUGCCGGUGAGGUGUCGGGUUAAGUCCCAUAACGAGCGCAACCCCUAUCAUUAGUUGCCAUCAGGUCAAGCUGGGGACUCUAAUGAAACUGCCUACGCAAGUAGUGAGGAAGGUGGGGAUGACGUCAAAUCAGCACGGCCCUUAUGUCCUGGGCUACACACGUGCUACAAUGGCCGGUACAGAGCGCAGCGAGGCCGCGAGGCGGAGCGAAUCGCUUAAAGCCGGUCCCAGUACGGAUUGGAGUCUGCAACCCGACUCCAUGAAGUUGGAAUCGCUAGUAAUCGCGCAUCAGCAUGGCGCGGUGAAUACGUUCCCGGGCCUU
RNAcentral lists this ribosomal RNA (402 nucleotides) under uncultured Sphingobacteriales bacterium. Its description in RNAcentral is "bacterial SSU rRNA". It matches the Rfam family "Bacterial small subunit ribosomal RNA", at positions 977 to 1382 of the family's 1533-position model. The record is from RNAcentral. Lineage: Bacteria; Pseudomonadati; Bacteroidota; Sphingobacteriia; Sphingobacteriales.